AGCAANGGCCCCCCCAGUGAUGAUAUUUAACGGCCGCGGUCCACUGACCGUGCAAAGGUAGCAUAAUCAUUAGUCUUUUAAAAGAGGGCUGGAAUGAAAGGUUUGACGAAGAGUUGACUGUCUCAUUUUAUUUUAUUAUAUAAUUUAACUUUUUAGUUAAAAGGCUAAAAUUUUAUUGGAAGACGAGAAGACCCUAUAGAGCUUUAUAUAAUUUUAUUUAAUUUNAUUUAUAUUAACUUUUCAUUAAAUGGACUUGUAUUUUAUUGGGGUGAUAGAGAAAAUAUAUAACUUUUUUAUUUAUUAUUCAUAAAUUCAUGAGUGGAUGAUCCAGUAAUAUUGAUUAUUAGAUUAAGUUACCUUAGGGAUAACAGCGUAAUCCUCUCCCAGAGUUCAUAUUUACGGGUAGGGCUUGCGACCUCGAUGUUGGAUUAAGAUAAUAAUUAGGUGUAGCCGCUUAAUUAAUAGGUCUGUUCGACCUUUAAAUUCUUACAUGAUCUGAG
Molecule: ribosomal RNA, 500 nt
Filed under: Pentathemis membranulata
Lineage: Eukaryota; Metazoa; Arthropoda; Insecta; Odonata; Corduliidae
Description: partial 16S ribosomal RNA
Rfam family: Bacterial large subunit ribosomal RNA
Source: RNAcentral